UUGGUUUGUUACUAGUGGUCGGCUCUCUUGCUUGUGCACAACUUCCACCUGACAUGCCUUUUCGUUCGUCCGUUAAGGCUUCGGUUGCCUGAACAAAUUGUUGGUUUCCUGUGUUGCCUGCCUAACAAACGGUAUUAAUUUGGCUUAUCUAAGUUCCGUUCGUCUUUCGUCAUGUGUAUGACGUUAGAUGAACCCUAAACAUGUCUCUUUGAACCACGUCAUUAAUGCUUGUGUUGAUGUAGUGGCGCAUUGAGCCUUGCUUGGUYUCUUCGAUGUAGUGCUUGAUGUGGGCAUGGGUCUACUGGAACCCUGAUAUGUCCCUGAUUAGUGUGUACACUCCCGAAAAUGACUGUCUGACAYGCGUUGGC
Molecule: unclassified non-coding RNA, 368 nt
Filed under: Ayapanopsis oblongifolia
Lineage: Eukaryota; Viridiplantae; Streptophyta; Magnoliopsida; Asterales; Asteraceae
Description: partial contains external transcribed spacer and 18S ribosomal RNA
Source: RNAcentral